This 315-nucleotide long non-coding RNA is filed under the name Lepisosteus oculatus (spotted gar). Its description in RNAcentral is "lncRNA (ENSLOCG00000021517.1)". Lineage: Eukaryota; Metazoa; Chordata; Actinopteri; Semionotiformes; Lepisosteidae. The record is from RNAcentral.
UGAAUUAAAGCCAAUUAUUAUUUUUACAAUAACUAGAACUGUAAACAUUCAUAGCGAACAUUUUAGAUAAGAGACUGCAGAUAGCAUUUAUAAAUAUUUUAUAAAUAUUUCUGAAGUAUUAGUACAGUAACACAAACAUGAUAUACCUUAUCCUUGCUAUAUAUCUCUUCUACAGAUUAAGUAAACCUUUAACAUGACCAUACCCUGAACCAGACCACUGACUCUUGUGUGAGGGAAAAGCCCCCUGUCCCAGCGAAUAUUUUCCAUUCCCUAAUGAAGCAGGCUGGACAGAAUGGAGUAUUCAAUGGUAUCCAG